GACAGAGGGUGCAAACGUUGUUCGGAAUUACUGGGCGUAAAGCGCGUGUAGGCGGCUCGGCAAGUCGGAUGUGAAAGCCCAGGGCUCAACCCUGGAAGUGCACUCGAAACUCCCGAGCUGGAGUCCCGGAGAGGAAGGCGGAAUUCUCGGUGUAGAGGUGAAAUUCGUAGAUAUCGAGAGGAACACCUGUGGCGAAGGCGGCCUUCUGGACGGUGACUGACGCUGAGACGCGAAAGCGUGGGGAGCAAACAGG
This 253-nucleotide ribosomal RNA is filed under the name uncultured bacterium. RNAcentral's name for it is "partial 16S ribosomal RNA". It matches the Rfam family "Bacterial small subunit ribosomal RNA", at positions 524 to 776 of the family's 1533-position model. The record is from RNAcentral.